This 464-nucleotide ribosomal RNA is filed under the name uncultured bacterium. RNAcentral's name for it is "partial 16S ribosomal RNA". It matches the Rfam family "Bacterial small subunit ribosomal RNA", at positions 28 to 507 of the family's 1533-position model. The record is from RNAcentral.
GACGAACGCUGGCGGCGUGCUUAACACAUGCAAGUCGUACGGUAAGGCCCUUUCGGGGGUACACGAGUGGCGCACGGGUGAGUAACACGUGAGUAACCUGCCCACAACUUUGGGAUAACGCUAGGAAACUGGUGCUAAUACUGGAUAUGUGCUCCUGCUGCAUGGUGGGGUUGGAAAGCUCCGGCGGUUGUGGAUGGACUCGCGGCCUAUCAGCUUGUUGGUGGGGUAGUGGCCUACCAAGGCGGCGACGGGUAGCCGGCCUGAGAGGGUGACCGGCCACAGUGGGACUGAGAUACGGCCCAGACUCCUACGGGAGGCAGCAGUGGGGAAUAUUGCACAAUGGGCGCAAGCCUGAUGCAGCAACGCCGCGUGCGGGAUGACGGCCUUCGGGUUGUAAACCGCUUUCAGCAGGGACGAAGCUUUUUGUGACGGUACCUGCAGAAGAAGCACCGGCUAACUACGUG